UUAGAUGUGACUCAGUGGUAGAGCACUUGCCUAGCACACACUAGGCCCUGGAUUCCAUCCCCAGUACUAAG
RNAcentral lists this transfer RNA (71 nucleotides) under Marmota monax (woodchuck). Its description in RNAcentral is "tRNA.Ala". The record is from RNAcentral. Lineage: Eukaryota; Metazoa; Chordata; Mammalia; Rodentia; Sciuridae.